CUUUUAGCUCCUCAUUCCGCAAGGAUCGCAAGUGAGUUCAGCAAGGAUAAAGUGACGCUCUAGAGGUUAAGGUGGAGCGAUGAAGAGACAGCUGUUACCUCAGUUAAGGAAAACAAUCAUCAUUUCCCACCCUUUGCUCUGCAUCUCCACACCCCAACCUGGGUGCAAUCUUCAGCACACUUCCAGUUCUCUGUGCUCAGUCUACAUUCCAUCCCAUUGGCUGAGUCAUCUUUUCCUUUGUAUUUUUCGCUUCUGUAAUUGUGUAAAAGUGUGGUUGUGGUAUUUCUGCCUGUUUCUGUCAUAUACUUCUUGUUCUAUUUAAAUGCACAUUCUACACCUAUAUUUAUCUUAUAGUAUUAUUUAGAUUAUUCCAUAAAAGUCACUACCUCUGCAAUAAGUUAGUGUUCUGAUUGUUGGUGAUUGUCUUACUUAAAUUCUUCACAUUGUUUUAGAAUUUCAGUUGGUGAGUUAAUUCUAGCAGAAUGAAUAAACAGUUCUCUCCUUCCUCAAAGCUCCCCUCUUACCACCUAGUAAUUUUAUAUUUGUCUCUACUCAGUCCCUGGUCCUUCAGUCCAGUCUAGACUGCCGUUCUGGGGAUGUAGUGGACAUCACAGACUGAGUCACAAAGGGGAGGCUGGGUUCACUUCCUGGUCACCAGGCAGCUUGCAUAACGGUAUCACCUUCCUGCACUCUGCAGAAAUUUUCUCAGCCUCCUCUUUGAGUGGGGGAGCCUCAGCUCAGUUCCCGGUUUCCAGCAGUGAGGCUGGCUUAGGUCCCGUCUCAAGAGAGGAGCUCUGGGACUGUUGCAUUGAUGGGUUUUGAAUCCAUACCAGUGAGUUCUAGAAGCACAUUCCUGACCACCAAGCUGUCUUGCCUAGUGCCAUGGCACACAGAUGCGGGACCAGAGGUUGAAGUGCCAUGAGAAUGUCCCCUGAGCUCAGUUAUACAGAAUAAACAAAUUGCAGUGGAGGAGCCAGAAGUUAGUCUUCAGAAA
Molecule: long non-coding RNA, 994 nt
Filed under: Marmota monax (woodchuck)
Lineage: Eukaryota; Metazoa; Chordata; Mammalia; Rodentia; Sciuridae
Source: RNAcentral